This 72-nucleotide transfer RNA is filed under the name Nannocystis radixulma. RNAcentral describes it as "tRNA-Trp". It matches the Rfam family "tRNA". From Rfam's summary of the family: Transfer RNA (tRNA) molecules are approximately 80 nucleotides in length. Their secondary structure includes four short double-helical elements and three loops (D, anti-codon, and T loops). RNAcentral also lists the same sequence under 2 other names. Lineage: Bacteria; Pseudomonadati; Myxococcota; Nannocystales; Nannocystaceae. The record is from RNAcentral.
AGGGGGGAGGUGUUGACGGUGACACACACGACUCCAACUCGUGAGAACCGGGUUCGAACCCCGGCCCCCCUG